Molecule: ribosomal RNA, 520 nt
Filed under: Wuda sp. 2 BFS-2018
Lineage: Eukaryota; Metazoa; Arthropoda; Insecta; Hymenoptera; Ichneumonidae
Description: partial 16S large subunit ribosomal RNA
Rfam family: Archaeal large subunit ribosomal RNA (bases 390-520)
Source: RNAcentral
AAAACAUGUCUUUUUGAAAAUAAUUUUAAGUCUGAUCUGCUCCAUGAUUAAGAUUAAAUAGCUGCAGAAUAUUAACUGUACUAAGGUAGCAUAAUCAAUAGUUUUUUAAUUAAAAGCUGGAAUGAAUGAUUUGAUAAGGUAGUUAUUGUCUCUGAUUUAAUAAGAUUAAAAUUUUUUUUUUAGUUAAAAAACUAAAUUGAAUUUAAAAGACGAGAAGACCCUAUAGAAUUUUAUAAUUUUUUUUUAAUUAAUUAAAAAUAAAAUAUAUUUUUUAAUUAAAGUUAUUUGAUUGGGGAAAUUAUUAAAUUUAAAAAAUUUUAAAAUAUAAAAAACAAAAAUUAUUGAAAAUUUGAUUUUAUUAUAUAAAUGUAAGAAUAAAUUACCUUAGGGAUAACAGCGUAAUUUUUUUAGAGAGACCUUAUUGAUAAAAAAGUUUGCGACCUCGAUGUUGAAUUAAGAUAAAAUUUUAAAGGAAAAAUUAAAAAUUUUUGGUCUGUUCGACCAUUAAAAUCUUACGUGA